AAACUCAAAUGAAUUGACGGGACCCGCACAAGCGGUGGAUGAUGUGGUUUAAUUCGAUGCAACGCGAAAAACCUUACCCACCUUUGACAUGUACGGAAUCCUUUAGAGAUAGAGGAGUGCUCGAAAGAGAGCCGUAACACAGGUGCUGCAUGGCUGUCGUCAGCUCGUGUCGUGAGAUGUUGGGUUAAGUCCCGCAACGAGCGCAACCCUUGUCAUUAGUUGCUACAUUCAGUUGGGCACUCUAAUGAGACUGCCGGUGACAAACCGGAGGAAGGUGGGGAUGACGUCAAGUCCUCAUGGCCCUUAUAGGUGGGGCUACACACGUCAUACAAUGGCUGGUACAAAGGGUUGCCAACCCGCGAGGGGGAGCUAAUCCCAUAAAGCCAGUCGUAGUCCGGAUCGUAGUCUGCAACUCGACUACGUGAAGUCGGAAUCGCUAGUAAUCGUGGAUCAGAAUGUCACGGUGAAUACGUUCCCGGGCCUU
Molecule: ribosomal RNA, 484 nt
Filed under: uncultured Rhodoferax sp.
Lineage: Bacteria; Pseudomonadati; Pseudomonadota; Betaproteobacteria; Burkholderiales; Comamonadaceae
Description: bacterial SSU rRNA
Rfam family: Bacterial small subunit ribosomal RNA
Source: RNAcentral